RNAcentral lists this ribosomal RNA (454 nucleotides) under uncultured bacterium. Its description in RNAcentral is "bacterial SSU rRNA". It matches the Rfam family "Bacterial small subunit ribosomal RNA", at positions 339 to 791 of the family's 1533-position model. The record is from RNAcentral.
CUACGGGAGGCAGCAGUAGGGAAUAUUGGUCAAUGGAUGGAAGUCUGAACCAGCCAUGCCGCGUGCAGGAAGAAGGCCUUCUGGGUUGUAAACUGCUUUUGCCAGGGGAUAAAAAUUCUUUGCGAAGAAAAUUGAAGGUACCUGGUGAAUAAGCACCGGCUAACUACGUGCCAGCAGCCGCGGUAAUACGUAGGGUGCAAGCGUUGUCCGGAUUUAUUGGGUUUAAAGGGUGCGUAGGCGGCCCUGUAAGUCAGUGGUGAAAUACUCCAGCUUAACUGGAGGGGUGCCAUUGAUACUGCAGGGCUUGAGUUAAGUUGAAGUUGGCGGAAUUGACGGUGUAGCGGUGAAAUGCUUAGAUAUCGUCAAGAACACCGAUAGUGAAGACAGCUAACUAAACUUUUACUGACGCUGAGGCACGAAAGUGUGGGGAUCAAACAGGAUUAGAUACCCCGGU